This 33774-nucleotide long non-coding RNA is filed under the name Coffea arabica (coffee). Its description in RNAcentral is "long non-coding RNA (CARA_LNC006723)". The record is from RNAcentral. Lineage: Eukaryota; Viridiplantae; Streptophyta; Magnoliopsida; Gentianales; Rubiaceae.
UUUUUCUUUUUUUUUUUUUUUCUGUUCUCUUUUAGUCUAGCCUCUUUGUUUCUCUUUAUACACUUGUGAUACCAUGUAAUUAAAGUAGAGGAGAUGAAUGAGAAUAUUACACAAUUUCUUCAUUUUUAAUCUCGCACUGUGUUGCAUACUAAUCGGUAACUACUCUUUUGCUUUUGCUUUCUCACCUUCUCCCCACAAUAGUGUCAACAACUAGCUAGUUUCUCUUAGAGGAAAAAAAAAAAAGAAUAGAAAAUAAUUGUCAACAGGUACCUUUUUUUUUUUUUUUUAAGUCAACAGAGAUCACCGGGAGGGAGAAAUAAGUAGCUAGAUGUUGACUAGCUCUCCAAAUAAAAUUGCGUAGUAAAUUCAACUGCAAGACUUUGCAAGGGUGUCCAUUAGUUGGCGUAGGAACAUUGGUUGUACUGUAAAACCAUUCUCACUGCUGUCAAUGGCAAAAUAUUCCUGAUCUUUGAUUCACUCUGGUCUCCAAAUGUCUCUCCGGAAGAUGCAAUUAAGUGAAAUAAUGCCGUUGCAACGUCAUUAAGAAAAAGUCAACAUCGAGCUAGAGAGAAAAAGUCAACACUGACAGAAACACUUUUACUGUUUGGCGUCGAGGAAAAAUCGUUAUCGGCCAACCCUUUGAAAAAAAAAGUUCGACAUAAACGCAUAUAUAUGGUGGUUCAAAUUUCUCAUCUGAAGAUUGUGAAAAAGAAUUUUGUCUGACCGUGGUGGUAUUGUAACUAAAAGUCUUCCGAAAUAAAUUUUAAAAAAAAAAAAAAUUGUGAAGAAAGAGACUGAUCCAAAACGGAAGGAUUUCAUGACGAGGGGAAGGUGGAACUGGAAAGUUUCGAUGAACAAGAUUUGCUUGCAUCCAUUUACCUGAGCAAGUAAUUGUCACCUCGCUAGUUCCAUCAUACUCCAUUUCAAGCUAAAAUGGUCAUCUCAACUUUUAUUACACCAUAAUCUAUCUAAUUUAGCUAACACGAAACUCAAUUACACCCAGGACAAGCUUGAAAUGAAAACUUGUCUGAAAUGAAACUCGUGAGGCCCCAUCUGCUGGGAGGGCCGAUGUCACAUAAGAAGAAAACAAGGAACGAAUCACCCGCGUCUAAGCAUCGAAACUCCAUCAAAUUCUAGCAUCAUCAGUCUUAAAUUUGAUAUCGGUCACAAGCCCAAGAAACCCAGGUUACUAAAGAUCAAUCACCCUAAAUGGAUGGAGAUCCAUCUCAAUAUAACUCAACAGAAGUUCAAAGCAUGUAUCAUAGAGAAGUUCUUGAGAGGAAGAUAUCAUUUUGCUUUGAGACCUAACUCCACAAUGCAUGGUGGAAAUAGUGGGCCAUGAGAAGUAGUUGCCUGAAAGACUACAAGCAAUAAGAUGCUCUGUCUCAAUAGAGAUUAAUUACCCUUCAGUCUUCCUAACUUCCAAAACACAAGAUGCUUACAAACAUGCUUGCUUUCUGUUAAGUGUUGAUUACGAAUCCAAAACUGAAAGGAAAAUCAACAAAGAAGUGGCCAUAGAGGUAUAAUGGUCACCAUAGCACUGGACCAACCAAAAGUGGACUACAAGAAAUCACUAAAAAUUUAGAGAAAUAAGAUACAGCGGUACAAGGAAAAGAGGUUAUGUAGGUAUAAUAAGAGUAACUGGCGUUUAAUUUUGAUCAAACAUGCAUAUCUCUAUGUCAAUUUUCCUGUACCAGCAUAUUCAAGCUAAAUUUAUUCUGGUUUUCCAUGAAGUAUUAGCAAACAACUUUUGCCUUUGAUGACCCUGACAGAUUUCCACAGGAAUCAUCACUCACAGAGAGCAAACAAUGAAGAAGUAAAGCAGAAGAGUGGCAAAGAGAAGGCAGGUCUUGGUCAACAUCUCCAUGAAUUGUAUGAAACGCAUGGGGUUUACGAAUGAAAGGUAACAUUGGUUUAUAUGGAAGAAAUACAAAUAAAAAAAAAUAUGUAAUGCAAGUCAAUUAAAUUUGCUUCAAAUAUGAAGUCAAUAUGCAGAUCAUCCUUUGUAUAUCCCCAAUCAUCCAUGCUCCAUCACCAUAACCUUCACACUGUCUGAUACAUCUUUAAACAUAUUAACCAGAAAAACAAAGUAAAGGAAAAGCAAUUAACUCAAUCAAUUAAGACUACUGUACAUACCAUUUCAAUAAUCAAAGCAUGAAUAACUGGUUAAAAUCAUCAUCCAGCAUAACAUUUCAUAGAAUAAAAAAGUUAUGCUAAACAUAAAACUGCUCAAAUUUGCCCCCAGUGUUAGAACAGAUACAGUGCAUGCAAGACAAGCCGCACAUUCAUCUACUCCCAUCUUAAUUUUACUUACCUCGGCCAACAAAUAGCGGAAAAGCAGAAAAGAAUAAAAUAUCAAGUUUAAGUCAUUUUUUACAACACUUGUAGAAAGCACAUUGGUUGUCAUUGCGUGACAUGUCAUCCAUAAAAAACAACAUAUCUAGCAUAAUCAGCAGAUCACAAAUUUACUGCCUGUUAAAAAACAAAACGUAAUUUUCACACAAAAAUAAUAACUCAAGCUCAGAGAUUUGAAAACGCUUUCUCCAAUUGGGUCCUCAAAGAGAGGACUGCAAAUUUGAGACUGGACAUCUGUUUUUAACAGACAAGUAGGCAAUAAUACUCUAUUCCCCACCCUCAACACCCCCCCCCCAAAAAAAAUUGACAAUGAUCCUGACUACCAGUCAGCAAAAGAUGGCAUAUGCAGCUAUACCACAUACUCUUGAAGCUAAAGCUUUCCAUCUAUGAACUUUGUUUAGAAUGAGCAAGUAAUUGCCCUACUCCUCUGGCAAGGCUCAGCCUUUGAAGUGAAAAUCACCAAUACCCAGUAACACAAGAUUUUAAUAAAAUUACAAAGAGGGAUGGAGAUAAAUAUACGAAAGUAACAAUCUAGUAAGCAUACUGUGAAACUGUUCCCUAUUUUAUUACCGUCUUUUACUUUUUCCUCUUGUAAAUUGUUUUUUUGCAAGACACAAUUGGCGGAGUAUGUCUCCUAACUAAGUGAUGCAACCAACCAGUGAGCUACUCCUAGUUUCUCAAGCAAUGUCUACACCUAUCAACCAAACAAGGAAGCUCCACAGGACAAGACCAGCUUCCAGCAGAAAAGCAUCUCCAACAACAUAAAUAAUUUUUAUCCACCAAAAAAUUAUUAGUGCGAGACGUCUCUGCUGAUGCAAGUCAAAAAUCCAAACAUUAGGCUUUACCUCAGAUAUUUUGACUUAUGCUUGCUGUACUCAAACUAGGGGACAAAGUUUUCUUAGCGCUCAAGUUCAUCAAUUCCUCCUUGUUUGUAGCAUGAAUGAGACAUCAAACUAGUUUCCCCUUUUUCCUUCUGGGAAUUCCAAACAUUGACAACAUACAUACCCAUGCUCCCAAUAUACAAAGACAACUCAACGUGUGAUUAUUUUUUCCAGUCCUGGAAAAGGUUGCAGGCAGCAGAAGGAUAGGACAAACAACAAUAAUCUGAUUUGCAAUUGUACACAGGCAAAAAGAAACUUAAAUGUAUAACUGUUGUGCAUCCAGCAUCAGCAAGGCUGAAUAUCCUAGCCAUCAACUGAGCUUAUUACAUGGAAUGAGAUCUAUGUUGUUCCUCGUGAACUCAAAGGAGGAGAACCAAAGAAGUUCUAGUCUUAGAGUCCCUCCUCAAAGCAUACUUUAGUUGCUACAUUUAACAUCACCAGAUCAACUUGGUCACCAAGGAAACUUUAUCCCCAAAGCUAGAGAAGCAAAAAAGACUAGAAAUAUUUUUAGUGUACAAGAAUCCUUCAACCCUCACCCCUGCCUUGGUCUAAAACCACUUUUACACCAAAAAUAAAAAAAACCACCUUAAUAAAACCAACCUAGAUAGCCUCAUGUAACAAUGACCGUGAGCAAAACCUUCUAAUUGAAUACCAUGUAGACCAGAUUAACAGCUGCAAUGACUAUGAAUACAAUGUUGCAACUAUCUUGGAAGACAUUCAGGAACUAAGAACAGGUUUUGAAAGCUGUAGUUUCUUUUUUGUACCCAGAUCAGAAAACGAAAUCAGCCAUACACUAGCUCAUUUUGCUGUAAAGUUUGUGCAUGAUGUAGAAUGGGAACAAGAUUUCCAAUAUAGCUGAUAGACAUAGAACAGAAGGAAAUGAAGGCAGUGGCCCCUUUUUGUAAUUAACUCUUGUACUAUCAAGUGUUAAUACCCAUAUACAUAAAACUGUUAACGUUUGUUGAAAAAAAAAAGAAUACCAUGUAGACAUAUGCUAAUAAAGCUCUAGUUUCUUUAAAUAUUUAAAAAUUCUCUGACACCAAAAAUGUUGUUGCUAAGAUCUUCUAAUCCAUUUUUCCUGAAUACUUGCUGCAUAAAGCUACAAUACUUGUCACAUAUUGAACCUAUGAACUCCCACUGCCAACCAACCAUAAUGCAAGAGUUACUAUAAGCAGGAACCUAGUACCAAACACCAAUCCUAAGGCCCUAAAAAAUUUGAAGGAUUUGAGGUCAUGAACCCCAUGCCAAUUGUGAUAACUGAUAAAUACCCACUCCGUCAAUUUUUGUGACAUUUAUCAACUUUCCUUGAUAAAUUAAACUCACCUAAAUGACAACCAUAUUUAAAUACCAAAUAUAGACAAUUCAAAGGGGGAAAAGAAAUUGAAAUAUUCCACUGCAGCAGAACAAAAUGACACAUCAAGAAAACACCAAACAUGCACUGUCACUUUUUUUUGUCACAUUCAUCAACUUCCCCCAUCAUUUCAAUGCACAAAAAGACAACCAUACCAAAAACAGACAAUUUAAGGAGGGGGGCUGGAGGAGGAGAAAUACCACCAUUGCCGUAGUUUUUAACGGUUUCUACCAAUCUGUUAAUUAAAGCCCGUCCACAACAAACAUUUUUAACAACGUGAACAACUAUGGAAAGCCCUAAGCAGAACAAUCACCAAAUCAACCCACACAUCCCAGCACAUUUCCUGACAGAAAAGAGAAAAAGAGACUAAAAUGAUAAAGGAACAUCCAGCUAGACAACAUUAUAGCAAGGCAGUCAAAAUAUGCCCAAGAACUCCAGUAAUAUUACAAAUUCCAGAUCUCGACAUAACGUAGAUUAAGUACUCCAACUAUAAUUCCUAGAGAAGAUCCUCAAGACGUCACAUUUCUCGCAACAUUAACCAUAUAGUAGUAAUUAAGAAACCUAGAUAAACUCUCAAGAAUCAAUUUUGAGAGCUUCUACCUCCCCGCUUAUCCCACCAUCAUCCGCGGCAUCCUCCUGCGGCUUGUUCUCCGAUACAGACGACGGAGCAUCAGCAGCGGCGGAAGCAGAUCUGGACUUGACAGUAUCGAGCAUGCGGCGAGAGAUCUCCUUGGAAUAAAUCUGCAGAAUCUCGAUGCCGUCGUCAUCGGUGGAGGCGGAAGCACCGGCAGCCGCGUAGGCCUCGUCUUCAAUCCUCUUGGCGGCCUCGGACGCCUCCUCGGUCGGAAUGACGCCGUAGCGCUUGGAUAGAACGGAGGGAGACGACAGCGUCUCGAUGAGGCGAUUGAUCACCGCGUCGCGAGUGCGCUGAGUUGGCGGCCAAAUGCUGAAGGAAACAUUUCCGAUGCUUUUCUUUGAAGAGGGGUCGGACGACGCCGUUUGGUCGACCUGGGGCUGUUCGGUUUCAGCCAUUGUUGGGGUUUUCGGGAGCUCAAUUUCUUCUCUCGGGGUUUCUUCGAGGUUAAUUUGAGCGGAAUUGGCGUUAUUAUUGUCGGUCAUUUUCAGUGUGCUUCCCCUUUUUACUGUGGCGGAGGGUCGGGAGAGAUGUUUGAAGGAGAAAACAAUUUAAAAAUGAGGGUGGAAAUUACUGCGGGAGGGACUAUAUAUAGGCAAAGGACGGGGGCCAGGUGGCAAAAUUUUGCUUAGCUAAAAAUGACAGUACACCUGUGUAGAUUGAUAACUUAAGAACCGUCCAAGUUGGAGGAAAAGGCAUUGAGCUUGUCUCUUCUUUAUCCUCCCUCAAUUAAGGGGGAUGGGAACAAGUUUCUCUUUUUUCGUACAUUUGCUGUAAUUUUUCCCAGCUUGAUUUUGCUACAGUUUUUUUUUUUUUUUUGUAUGUGUUUUUUUUUUUUUGGGGGGGGGGGGGGGAGGGGUUCAAACAAAUUAAAGCUAUAAAUUGAAAAGAAAAAAAAAUUGAUCAUUUGGAAGUCAAAGUUGCCAAGGAUCCACCUUUCUUUAAUUUCAAGCCAAGCUUUUUAUGGCCAUUGAUGUAGACUAAUUGUAUGUUUUUUAUAUGGAGACCAAAUAACUGCUGAAAGGUGAAAGAUUGCUGGUAAGAAGACUUGGCUGCAACAUUUUGAGGCCGUUCUUCUACAGCUUUGACAGCAAUUGGGUAACAAAGAGUAUCCGUAAAGGUUCAAGUUUGAUGCCUAUUAACUAUUAAGAGCAAUCUUGUGCUCAGUGUUUUAGGAAUUAUAAAUGUUGUAUGAUAUGAACAGCCUAGAGUCUUCAGAUGAAUUGGUUGUUCUUGGUUUUUCCAGCAUUUCGAACUGCAGGUCAGAGAGGUGGGAUUCGUGGGCUGCAUCCUCAGAAAGGUCCUCCUUUUGUCAGCAACAAAUUCAACGAAAGCAAACUCAGAGGUUUACAUUUUAAUGCAGCAAAAAUACAAUAGAGGCUGAAUGUUGUCCAAAGAUCGCAGCAUGAAUAACUUCAAGCUCUUAGAUUUUCCAUAUAUUGGCCAUCAACAUUGCAAGUCGAUGUUGGGAUAAAUUCUACUGCUGCAAUGCGCCUUAGAUAUCUCCAGUAGUCACCGUAGGGAGAUGAACCAAUUGUGGUGCAGUUGUAGUUCAUCACUUUUCCAGAAACAGGAUCAUUGCUGUAAGCAAAUAUUACGUCAUUCUUUGUGAAGCAUUCUACUACUGCUUUUGGAGAAGAAACUACCACUACAUUACGGGCUCCAAAUUUAGGAAACAUAGCAUCACCAUACUUUCAGGAAGGUUGUGCAUAAAUCUGUGCGUUGGCCUUUUCGCGAGAUGGAGAUGACCUAUAAUAGGAAGAGCCUUUGGACCUGGUGGUAGAUUUUUAGGCUUUCUGAAACUGAAUUUGAGAAGAAUGAAGGAAAGGGAGAAUAAAAGAACCAAGUUGAGGUACUGAUUGGCUCCCAUUUUCUCCCAACCCUAUUAUCAUUUGUAACUUGUAAGCCCCAAUUGAUUGUAUAGAUUGAAUUCAGGAUUGAUUUUUGACACUCAUUUAUAGAUCCCUGUCUGACCACUUUACUUAUACAUGGUUCAUCGGAGAUUUACCUUCUGAACAUUAUGUCUGGUGAGUUAAUGAAAGAGUGAAAAUCUGGGAAGCUCCUAAAUUAUCACCUUGUUCACUUUUGGCCGCUGAUCUAAAUUUUGUUUCGGAUUGACCUCUGAACAAUUAAAAGUGCAUAUUUUAAGGAAUUCUGAUAAUUUUAGACGAAAGUCUAGCGGGAACCAAACGGCAUUUUGGGGCGAUUGCAACGAUUAGAGUAUUAACAGGGUAUUGUGGUAAAGGGCUACCAUUGUCUACUCAGGUUAGGAGAUAUAAAUGCCACUCACAAAACCAAACGAACUUUCAACUAUAGAUGCAGUAAUUUGUACUGGAAAGCAUCCUUUUGCAUUUAAGGACUACAAUGUUGGAAAGCAAUUUGCUGCUGCUAUCUCAGACUCCAAGUUGUGAUUUCCCAAGCAAUGCACCACUGCAACACGAAAAUGAUAGUAGUAGGCUACAGCGGCUGCAGUUAUCCCUUACAGAGUUGGGAUAACAAAUGUAUCAUGGUUUGUCGAGGUUGUAGAGGGCUUCCAGGGGCUCUUUCUUGGGCAUGGUUAGUCCUGUCCCUUCUGUCAUAUCUAUUUUCUGUUCGCCUUCCCUCUCCUAAUCAAAGCACUGGAUUAAAGCUCCCAAGGCAAGUGCUACAACCCUUCUGCCUAAAUUAGUCCCCAGACAGGCUCGUCGCCCUGCACCAAAUGGAAUCAGCUUAUAUCCUUCGUUUACCCUACCAUCAAAGCUCUCAGGCUUGAACUUUGUUGGGUCGUCCCAUAUGUUUGCUACUCUCAUGAUGCAGUAUUCAUCUUUUCAUCGUUAACAAGGCAAGUAAUAAUUAGGAGCAAGGAAGGUUUUGUAGUAAGUAUCUUACUGCUCAAAGAGUAAUUAUAAAUGCCUACAUGUUAGUCACUAACAUCAGAAAUUGAAAAUAUGGUGUUAUUAUUACUGAAUAAGUGCGCUGCAACAAAUGUCAUGGAAAAACUGAAGAGGCAAACUCAAGGAAAAUGGAGAACGUUGAUGUUUGUGAAAAACUUGGCAGUGUAGUCAGCUUGCGGAGAAUAGACUCUAAAAUAGAAAUAGAAAUUAGAUAUAGGAGAACAAGCAUAAGUUUUCCCCAUUGGCAAGACAUCGUGAAGCUAAAAUUCUUACCAGUAUGACGGAUUUGAUAACUACAUCAGAAUCGUCGUAUUCAGGUUCUGUUUCUUGUAGUGAUAGCAUAACAUCUAUCAAGGUUGUCAUCCUUUCAUUGUUGCUUUUACCUGCCUGAACCGUUUCGCUCCUAAUUUUUCGGCCCUCGUCAACAAGUUUCUGGAAGAAGUUGUCCAUAUCCAAGCAUUGUGUAUCGUGUUUUAAUUGUAUGCCUCCCAAUUUAGAUUCUGACUACCGACUGCUGUCCAAAGAAUCAGCCCCGAUUCACAUUUUUGUUCAGCUUUAUUACCUCUAUCGUUGUACAUAUGAAAUCUGAAUCUAUCCGACGUUUUGGAGCGAAUAUUGGUACCAAUGACUCAGUAAGGAUGGAAAACAAUUCACUGUGAGCCUGAUUUGCAAAAAUCCUGCUUUGUCAAAGGGAAACAACCCAACUUUGAGUUGAGGACUUGAGAUGCUGAUAAAUAAAAGUCACCACCAGCUAUCGACUAUAAGAAAAAGAUUGGAUUAUUUGAAUAAUAACCCAAAACAAAGAAAGAAACGUGCCAUGCUGUAGACUGGGAAUCUUUGCAGCUUGAACAUAUAUGAUGAAGAGGAGACAUCGGUUUUUUUUUCAGCAAGUUUUUCUUGCCUGCCACUCGUUGAUAAUAACUUGAUAGCUUGUACUGUCAAGAUUCACAGCAUCUAGUUGGCUUGCAAAGUUGAUAGAGAAGUCAGAUUGAUUCUUGGCGCCGAAUGCAUAGGGCCUUCAAACGGAUAGCCUUCUGCAGAGUGAUUCUGCAGAUAAUAAAAGGGAAUGUUCAAUUCACCAUCCUGUUCAACUUUAUCCCAAUCAAAAUACUGGAUGAAUGUACCCACUGUGAAGCUUUUCCUACUGCAUCUGGAGAAGAAACUACCACUACUUUUUGCAUUUGGUUCAGUUUUGUCAAAAUGGUGGUCGUAAGAAAAUUUUAUAGUUCAAGAAUAAUGUGAAAAGACUGAAUAUCUUUUCUUAGAAAGAGUACACCUUCAAUUUGUCAACUUAAGAGGAUGCAAUUGGAGACCAUAUUGACACCACUAAUUUACUUUUGUGUAGUUCUGUUAUGGCUACUUAGCGUACCAUGCAACGAAAAGGGGAGAUGUCAAAUUGCCAAAAAGCCAAUAGGGCUGGAGCACCUUGCCAAGGAUGGCUAGCCUGAAUCCCUGUUGGUAACCAAGCAAGAAAGUACCACUGCUGCCUAGAUUCCAGAACCAUAGGAGAACCAUAGGUUUGACAGAGUCCAUCUAAAGUCUAAUGAAUGGGCUGUUUCAAACUUUGAAGAGAUCAUGUAGAUGACCUGUUAUUUGCAGAGCUAGACGGCCCAGGGUUGUCUAAUUUGGUGCCUUCUUUUCAAAUACAGGGACUUGAAUACAAAAGAAAACAUGGAAAACAAAAUAACCAAGUUGAAAAAAAGUUUCAUAUCCCAUUUCACCAUUUCAGUGGAACUCAAUAACACAGUUUUGAUGAUUUAUAAGCAAAACUUAUAUUCCUUAUUCGAAUAUCCUUAAUUUUAGCAUUCAUUUUCAAGGCGGCACUAAAGAAUGCUGUUGAAGUAUUGCUUGUCGAGGUCGGCAUAUAGCUUCCAAGGGCUCGACUUUUGGAAUGCUAAAGCCCCUGCCUUCAGUCAGGUCCACCAUCUCUUCACUAGGUCUCUCCCACUCAAACACCUGAACAAGUGUUCCUAAAACAAAUCCAAGCACCCUAGUUCCUAUCCCUGCACCAGGGCAUCCUCGCCGUCCGGCACCAAAAGGAAGCAUUGUAAAUCCAUCGUCUCUCCUCUCCUGGUGCCUCUCUGGUAUAAACUUAGUUGGAUCUUCCCAGAGCUUGGGGUCUCUGUGGAUGGCCCAUAAGUUCACCAGCAACAUUGUACCUUUCGAUACAUGAUAUCCAGCAACAGUACAGUCUUCAGAGGCUUCAUGAGGGAUCAGAAGGGGAACUGGUGGAUACAAACGCAGGGUCUCUUUGAUUACAUUCUGUAGAUAAGUCAAGUUUGGCAAGUCUUGCUCUUCUAAAAGCCCGUCUUCUGGAACAUGAGCAUCUAUCUCAGCUUUGAUCUUUUUGAUGGCUUCAGGUUGGUUGAGGAGCAAAGCCAUUGCCCACUCCAGGCUUAUUGACAGUGUAUCUGUUCCAGCAAUCAAUAAUACCUGUAGAAUUUGCAAGAUGAACAGAAUAUUACACAAAUUGCCAUACUUGAGGUAUAAAAUAAUUUCAGUUGACUCCCCCGACAUAAAUUGUCUAUUGUCAAAUUGGCCUGUAACUAAUACACACACACACUACAGAGUACAAACUAAUGGGAAAAACACACCCUAUGGAAGUUAUUAGAAAUAUAAUUUUUCCUUUUGCAAAAGAAAAAAGUUAUGAUUUUUUUUUUUACAACAAAAAAAUUUGGAAGUAAAAGUUAUUAGAAGUUACUAAACUAAAGUAAUUAUCUUUAGUAUACUUUAGUGAGAGUAGAUUUGAAAAAUCAAAAGAUGACACAAAAUCAUUACUCCCUCCAUGUCAUUAAAAAUUAAUCCUAAAAAUUGUGUUUUUUAGGAUUAACUGAAAGAAAAAAACUUUUAGGAUUAACAUUUAAUCACAUGGAGGGAGUAAUCCUAAAAGUUUUGUGUUCUAAACUUUUACAUGGUCUAAACUAUUUGUCACCUUCAACACAUCAAAACAUAAUCAUUACCUUUUUACUCAUGUAUCCCUUAACUUCUUGUAAAUGACAUGAGUUGUACCAUUUAAGUAUUAAAUAUAUGAGCAACUAUCAAUAGGAGCACAUUACUGAAUUCCGAUUCUCAAAAUUCAAAAGAAGACAAGAGGGAGUACAAUUCGAUUCCAACUUAAAAAACAUCAGAAACAAAAAAAAAAAGUAUAUAUAUAUAUAUAUAUAUAUAUAUAUUUAUUUAUUUAUUUAUUAAAGCAUUAAAUGAAGAUUGCAGGAUGAAGAAGUUACCAUUAUAAUUCCUUUUAUCAGCUCAUCUGAAUAAUAUUCAUGUUCAUUUUCUUGCAGCGAGAGCAAAUGAUCUAUCAUGGUGGCACUUCCAUUGCUACCAGCUGCUAAAAGUUGCUUACGCUCAUCCACCAUGUCCUGCAUGAACUUGUCAAGCCUUUGCAUCAAAGUUGUGAAUCUUUUUUCCAAUCCCUUAAAAUCCACCCACCUCAAGAAAGGCAGAUAAUCCCCAAGGUUCGACCUUCCACUAUUCUCAAGCAUUUCCCUGAUAAAAAACCUCGCCUUUCUCGCCUCCUCGGCAUCCGCCACACUCUCUCCAUAAUACCUCUUUCCAGCCAUAGUCAUCGAAAGAAUAUUGAAAGCAAGCUCAACAAACUUAGACUUCAAGUCCACUUUUGUUGAUCCUCCACCUUCAUUACACUUGUGCAUCAGUUCCCUUAAUAGCAGCAUCAGUUCCGUUUUUCGAGUACCUAUGAAAACAGCAAUACGAGCUGGAGAGAAAAUCUCCAAUGCUGCUAAACGGCGAAGAUUUCGCCAAUGAUCUCCAUAAGGGGCUACGCUGAUGGUGGUGUAGUUGUAACUGAAGUGUUUUGAUGAAAGGCUUCGAGGGCGGUUCGCAAAGAUGAUGUCGUUCUUGGUGAAGCAUUCUUCGACUGCUGAUGGUGAGGUGACGAUAAGGGCCUUACGGACGCCUAGCCGGAGAAGCAAGAUUUCACCAUACUUAGCCGAAAGUGAUUGUAGAGUCUGGUUGAGUGGUUCUUUGAGAAGAUGGAGGUGGCCUAUAAGAGGAAGUGAAGGUGGACUUGGGGGUUGGUUUUUUGCUCAAGAUGCUAGUUCUCUUAGCAAAAUGUUGAAGAUGAAUAGAACGAAAAUUGCAAGGCAUGCAGUAAGAGAAUAAGUCAACUCCAUUCUUGCCCAAUUCCCCUGUCUUUGCCCAGGCAACAUCUCUAUGGCUAUUUGAUAAGUAUUUGGUCUCUCUCUCUCUCUCAUAUGCAUACAUACAUACAUACAUACAUACAUACAUACAUAUAUAUAUAUAUAUAUAUAACAGAUACAACUUGCUAAGAAGUAAUGCUCCGUAAAGUUUUGCCAACAAAUGAAGACAGAUCAUUUCCCUGAACCAAAAAGAAGAAGUUAAAAAAGAUCAAAAGCAAAAAUACAAGCAAAGACAUUGAAUGAUAUGGACCCAAAACAGCAAUAAUUUUUUUUAAGAAAAAAAGGAAAGAUAUGCAUCCAUUUGCACGGUUGACAUGUCUAUUAUAAAUGAAUACUGCAUGGUGCCUCCACUCUGUUGAUUCUUUUGGGUCAACUACACUGUUAACCACAGUGUUCCUUUCGGAUUUGAAGGGCUUCAGUUGACAAUGUGGAGCACAUGACAAAAUGGAUAAGAUAAAUUGUCCAGAAAGAAAUGGUAGGAUGGCUGGUGGACAAGUUAGAAAAUUGUAUCCAAAAUUAUAGCAAUUUGGACAGUAGUAUGAUAGUGGUAGUGGUUGGUAAUAGAAAAUUUUAAUACGGAAGUCUAAGAUUCAUAUUCAGCCCAAGACAUAAUUAACUUCUCCUUGUCUGUUAAGAAAUCACUUUUUAUGUCCUUUAGUUUAUUUAGUUAUUCGAUUUCCAUAUGAAUGUCCACUUUUCUCUCCUUGUGAGACGGAGAAGUGAUGGCUCAUGGAUCGUAGAAAGAGCCUAUAAUUCACUCACAAGUAAUCUUUACAUCAUAAUAAAACAUCCUGGAUUGCAUUUUUCUCAAUUUUUUUUAGAAAAAUUACUGUAGCGAUUUAAUAUAUGUGAGGUAAAAGGAUGAUUGAAAAAUGUGUUCACGGAAAACGUAGUAAUUUUUCUUUCCAACCAAGACAUAGCCACUACGUUUAGGCACGGAAAAAGAAAUGUUCGACAAUCUGUUGAAAGUUGGACAGCCUGUUUGGAUUGUUAUUUUUUAAAUUUUUGCAGAAAAAUAUAGUAUAACAAUUUAAUGUAUGUGACAUAAAAAAAAAUGAUUAAUUGUCUCAACAAACUUAAUAUCUCUCUUGUUCAAACACUAGUUUUUUAUGAGGAAAUAAGUCUGUCACGCUAAUUCUUGCUAUGGUUAGAGUAUUAUUCAAAUGAUACUGCUUUAUCCUGUUUCAAGCUCGAUUUUGUCAGAGUUCUUUUAAAUUACUGAGCGUGUAUAAGCAGGAAAGCAAAUAAGCUUGUUUCUCAACCUGAAAACAGCUGACUGGUGAAGCAAAACAAUGUACAAAACGUACAUAGAAAAUUUUUGCUUGUUCUCAUGAAACUCUAUAUUUUAUGUUUAAUCGUUUGUUGGUUCGUCAACCUUUAGCUGCUCUUUAAAACUUGUAUAGCCUAAGGAAGAUCCUUUUUUUUUUUUUGGGCUAACUCCACCUGCAUCAAAUUGUAUUUAGGGUUUAUUGCUUGGGUCUCCUUUAGUUACUUUUCUCCCACUCGACUCGACAUGGACAUCUAUCUAUAUAAUUCAUGCGGGAGACACAAAUAAAUGAAGAGUCUUGUAUCUUAAAUGAAGCGCAUGGGGACUGGAUCGACUCCACUGAUUAAUUUGGUUUGUCAACCGUAGUAGUGUCUUUUUUCGGGUUUGUGCGUUGUGGAGCUUUAGAUGCUAAUUUCCAGCCCUGAACGAAAGAAAUGCAACACAAUAUUGAAUGCGAGGAAACUGUACAGUAGCCAGUAGGUGGUCGACAGUUGAGCAAAUUGUAUAUUCGUGUCAUCAAUAAAAAGUUUUAGCUAUUAAGUAUUAACAAUAGCCAUGAUGAUGAUGAUGAUGAUUGAGAUUGAAGAUCUAAUAACCAAGUCCAAGGUUCAAAUUCAGUUUAGAACAUCCUGAGUGGACAAGAGGUUUCUAUAGAGAUUGAUUUACUACGGAAACUUGUUUACUGGAGUAGUAUUUUAUAAUCUAGCUAUUGGCUAAUUUAUCAGAGUAGGCAUUCCUCAUGUUUCCUAUGAAAAUACCAGGUGGUUUUUUUUUUUUAGGGUUGGCUCUAUUCCUUACAAAGAGAAAGGGAGAAAGGACGACUGCUUGAGAAUUGAACUACACUCAAUCAAUUAAGAUGUGGGUCUCGGAGACAUAAGUGCAGAUGUUGGGGAAAAGCGUGUAGAACUCAGAGUCAGCUUCUUGCAAAGACAAUAAUGAUUGGAUUAUGGUCUUGCUUUGAUCAGGUGAUGAGGCUGAACCACUUUCAGUUCUUCGACUUUCCUCAAUCAGAUCGUGCAUGAACUCAUCAAACUUCCUCUGGUAAUUCUCCAACAUCUUCCUAUACUUUUUCCCAAGACCAGACCGCCUCAUUAUUGGCACAUAUUCACAAGUGUCCGUGGGCAACUUCGCCGAAAACAUAUGAUCAGUCGACAUUGUUGGAAAUUGUAAUGAAGAUUAAUGUCCAGUAGAGGACCUCCAAAUCCAAAGGCAUGCUCCAGAAGCUAAGGCAAGUGAUGUAGCCAUGUAAGUUUCACUCUUCCACUCUUAUCUAUCUGAUAUAGGCAGUUAACAAUGGCCAAAGCGACAGCAACAUUAGCCUGAUAUAUAUAGAUGGCAAAAGAGGAUAGAUUCCAUAGAUAUCUGCCUACCUGCCACAGAAUUAGUAUGACCUUCCACCUGCGUUGGAUUUUGUACUUGUUAGCUGCACUAAGAUACUUGCAUUCCCCUAGAAACAAACACUAUAUAUAAGAUAUAAAGGGUGCAGUUGUUGUGAGCUAAUAUUAUUGUAUUUUAGAUUAGGUCACAAAGUCUCGUUAAAAAAUUGGUGAAAGUAACUUGCGAAUUAAGGGGUAUGUGUACAUUUAUUACUUUUGCACAUCGUACACAUUAUUCAAGCUGUUCAACGUGAAACACACAAAACUCUUGCUAGUCGUAAACACAAAUAAAGAUUUUAUACACAAAGGAUGGCUAAGUUCUAGUACAAGAAUUAGUCUUGCGAGCCACUUGCUGAUAACAACUUGAUAGCUUGUACUACCACAAUUCGUAGCUUCUUGCUAGCUUUCAAAGUUGAGAGAGAAGUUGGAUUGAUUCCUGGCGUGGAGCGCAUAGGGCCUCCAAAUGGUUAGACUUCUUCAUAGUGAUUCUGUUACUGAAGUCAAUGUCCAAUUCGCCAUCCUGUUCGACUUUAUCCCAAUCAAAGCACUGGAUGAAUGUACCAACUGCCAAUGAAACACUCCGAAUGCCUAGAUUGGCUCCGGGACAAGCUCUCCUCCCUAUCCCAAAUGGUAAAAACUUGGAAUUGAACUCUUCUUUAUCCAUUAAUCCCUUCCCUUCGAAUCUUUCUGGCAUGAAUUUCUCAGGCUCCUCCCAGAGUUUUGGAUCCCUAUGCACGGCCCAGGCAUUAGCUAAAACAAUCGUACCUUUUUUAAUAUCAUAACCCCCGACUCGGCAGUCUUCAGACGCCUGAUGAGGUAGCAGAAGUGGUGCCGCGGGGUACAGUCUCAAUGUCUCAUUGACAACACAACGAAGAUAGGGAAGCUUUGGAAUAUCAGAUUCAUCCACCAGCCUUCCAUGUCCUACGCUGUUGUCAAUCUCUGUCCUUAGUUUCUGUAGUGCCUUCGGGUGAUUCAGUAAAAGCAACAUAGCCCAUUCAGUGGUCAGUGUGGACGUUUCUCUGCCUGCUGUAAGCAUUAUCUGAAUCAAGGGUUGCUUUUGUUAGACAAAAUAAAUAUGGUUAAAUUAGGGUGGGAAAGAAUCCCAGAACGGUUGCUUUUAAAUGCUCUGUCCAACAGGAUCAUCCUUCUGAAAAAGCUUUACUAAGUACAAACAAGGGAAAGGAUGAUUGAAAAUGACAACCAAUGAACUCAAAUGCAACAAGGCUGAAGCUAUUAUCAUUUCAAAAGAUUGUUUUGGUGAAAUUAAUGGUGGUUGUUUUCAGGAAUUUUCCUAAUUAAAUCUUCUACUCAAAUCUUAUCCAUAGCAUGACAAAUAACAAAAGUAAGCAUGAAGUAUCAGAUUUUGACCUCGAUUACUACUCUUAUCUUAGUAUCAGAAUCCAAAGUUUAUUAAGCAGGACUUUUGUAAGAAGGCCGGUUGGAGGAAUACUAACCCCACAUAAGUCUAUUUUUUCUUCAUUAUCAGAAUCAAAAUAAGACAAGGAAAGGAAGGAAUUCACAAGCUCCAUAACUUCGCUGUCACCUAUAACGGAUUCUAGCUUCUCUUUAAGAAGAAUCGAUUGAUCAAGAGUUUUCUAUGAUCGGGUUAGAUCAAGUCUAUAUAAACCAUCAACCUAUACUCUUGAAAUGACAUCAGAAUAAAAUUCUUUUAACACUCGUUCUAAGUCCAAAAGAGUUCUUUAACAAGAUAUUCUUCUUAAGAAUUGCUUGAUUCAUCAUUCUACCAUGACAUGUUAUUACAAGCUUGUCUGAUUCUUUAGGGAUAACUCCAAUAUAAUUAUAAGGGAAAUUUUCACCACAGGUCCACAACACAAUAUAUGUUGAUAUAUGUCUUUAGGAUAGUUUUGAAUAGAUAAUAUAUUUACACGAAGAGGUGAUAAUAUCCGCCACUUUCUACUAGUUAGCUCCCACAGGCAAAGAAUCAAUUGCUAAAGGUUCAUAUAGAGCUGUUACUGUUGCCUCUCUGUAGCUUAAUGAAUUCAAUUGAAAACCAUAUUAGCUUUAUAUUGCUGAAGAUAGCAAUUGAGCAAGUGAAACAAGUUCUGCAAAAUAAUGAGUUCAUAACAAGUGUAAAUGCAAUAAAGCGGAAAAAAAUUAGUAUAUUCUGCCAGUUCAAAUUUCACUGCCUUGGCAAAGUAGUGAAGUGGGAUAAGCUCAUGCAGUAAGAAAAACAGAGAGAAAUUCCAUAUUGCACUAACCAAUGCAAUACUCUUGAUGAUGUCAUCUGAUAGAAAAUCUGAUUCUUUUUCCUUGCGGGAAAGCAGAUUUGCAAUCACUGCCUUCUCCUCUUUGUCCAGCAGAGUAUCUGAGCAUUGAAAUUCGUCUAUGAAACCCUGCAAGAAUUUAUCUCUCUUCUUGUGCAAAGAGAUCAUUUCCUUUUCCAGUCCCUUGUAGCCAAUCCAUCUUAAUAUAGGGACGAAGUCACACAAAUUCAGCGCAAUGCCUGCGCCUGAAGCAAACAUUUCCCCGAAUUCUUUAAUUAUUUGCAUCCCCAACUCCUCCCCAGCAUCCUCUUCUCUGAUACAGCGUCUUCCAACAAGCAUCCUCAUGAUAACAUUGAGUGUAAAAACAGAAAUCCAACGGUUCAAUUCAACUCUUACUUGGCUUCCAUUCUUUGAAACUCUGUAUAUUGACCUGAGAAUCAUCUUAAUUUCUUCUUCCCUGAUAACUGAAGUCCUCUGGAGGCUGUUGAAGGAGAAAGAUUCUACGACAAAGAGGCGACGAAGAUCCCUCCACAUGUGGCCAUAUGGGACUACCCCAACGGCUGUAUAGUUAUAGGAAAGCCUGUCCCCACCCAUGCUCCGAGGACGGUUUGCAAGUAUGAUAUCAUUCCGGGUGAAGCACUCUUCAAUGGCGGAUGGAGAUGACACAACAACAAAGGAACAGCAGCCGAAUUGGAGAAAGAAAAUGGGACCAUAUCUUGAUGAUAAUGAAGUCAAGUCUUCGUAGAGUGAGUUCUUGAUAAGGUAAAGAUGGCCAAUUAUUGGCAAAGCAAGUGGACUUGGUGGUAACUUCUUGUUCUUGACAUGGUUGAAUAGCAAGUUUUUGAAGAUGAGAAGUAAAGGUAAAGAACACAAUAAGAUGGUGACGAGGUAGUAGCAGAGAUUCUCCAUGGCCUAAAGCUGAAAAUCACACGAGACUUCUUAGUUAACUUCUGCUAUUUUUGUCCCCUCUUGCAUUGAUAAUGUGCAAUUAUUCGUGUGCUAAAAAGUCAAACUGGUAACGCCAAAGUCAUUGGUUAUUGGAUAAUGCGUAAUAAUUCUUCACGCAAUUGUGAGAGGAACUUUGUCGUUUGAUGUCUAUGAGCUCACCAAUUGGCAAGAAUUAUACAUUGAAAUAUAUAUCCAAUAAAGAUAGAGGAGUGGCGUUGGUGUAAAUUUUUUUUUUUUUGCUAAUUUUUAUAUAUGUGACGUGCAUCUAAACCCACUAAUAUAGGCACUGUUAGGAGAUGAAAGAUUUAUCCAAACAACUGAAAGAAAACAAGAGAAUAGAUGUGGUUGUUGGCAUCAUCUAACUUGAAAAAAUUAAGGAACGUUCCAAUAGUUACAGCAAUGAUCUUGUUUGGCUUGUGAAGCAGAUAGAUACUGGAAGUCUUACCAGUACGAUUCCUUAGACAAUAUCCAGGGUGUAGAACUCAGGGUCAGAUUCUUGCAAAGACAAUAAUGAUUGGAUUAUGGUCUUGCUCUGAUCAGGUGAUGAGGCUGAACCACUUCAGUUCUUCAACUUUCCUCACUCAGAUCGUGCAUGAAAUCAUCAAACUUCCCCUGGUAAUUCUUCAACAUCUUCCUAUACGUUUUCCCAAGACCAAGCCACCUCAUUAUUGGCACAUAUUGACAAAUGUCCGCGGGCAACUUUGCCGAGAACAUAUCAAUCGACAUUAUUGGAAAUAGUAAUCAAGAUUAAUGUCCAGUAGAGGACCUCUGAAUCCAAAGCCAUGCUGGAGAAGCAAAGGCAAGUGAUGUAGCCAUGUAAGUUUCACACUUUCACUCUUAUCGAUCUGAUAUAGGCAGUAAUCAAAUCAAUGGCCAAAGCGACAGCAACAGUAGCCUGAUAUGUAUAGAUGGCAAAAGAGGAGAUUCCAUAGAUAUCUUCCCGCCUGCCACAGAAUUAGUAUGACCUUCCACCAACGUUGGAUUUUGUCACUAAGAUACUUGCAUUCCCCCAGAAACAAACACUAUAAGACAAUAGGUACAGUUGUUAAAAGUUAGCAUUGUUUUUUAGAUUUGGUCACAAAUUCUCGCACAAAACUUGGCCAAAGUGACUUGUGAUUUGAGAGAUGUGUACAUUUAUUCCUUUUGCACAUUAUGCGCAUUAAUCAAGUUGUUUAAUGUGAACACACAGAUCGAAUAUUAGUUGUAAACAGAAAUAAAGAUUUUAUACACGAAGGAUGGCUAAGUUCUAGUACAAUAAUUAAGAAUAGUCUUGCCUGCCACUUCAUGAUAACAACUUGCACUACCACAAUUCAUAGCUUCUUGCUAGCUUUCAAAGUUGAGAGAGAAGUUGGAUUGAUUCCCGGCGUGGAACGCAUAGGGCCUCCAAAUGGUUAACCUUCUUCAUAGUGAUUCUGUCAUUGAAGUCAGUGUCCAAUUCGCCAUCCUGUUCGACUUUAUUAUUAACAUAACACUCUAAGAGCCAAAGGCGUUACUGUUCAUUUGCUUUUUCGUCGUCGGUAUCACGUGCCAAAAGCGUGUCUUAUUGUUAACAUAACGUAUUUUUUAUUAUUACAAGGCCACCCGGCCUACUUCGUUAGCUGGUUUAUUUUUUAUCUCCUUUAUUUGUCCUCUUUUUCCUCUUUUGUGUAUCGUCUUCGCAUCUCAAUGGCCUGGGAAAAACUUUUCCUGAUUCAUUUCCUUAAUGGAGUUUCGUCUCUUCCGGUCAUUUUCCCUAUGCUUUACCAUUUUUUCGUUUUGCCCCUUUGACUCCAUCUCCUUUCAAUUGAACUCUCUUUUGUCCGCUGGAUUUCUUCUCGCUGCUGUGUUGCCUUCUCUUGGCUGAUUUCACGUAUCUUCUUCCGGUGACUUGUGUUUUGAGCUGGCCUCGCGAAAAGAUUUCCUCGGGAGAACUUUUCCAGACUGCUUUCCUUAACGGAGUUUCAUCUUGGUCGAUUUCGCCGGUCUUCAGGUGACUUCUUAUGAUUAUUUUUACGCAUUUUCUGGUCAUUUUUCCUAUGCUUUACCAAUUUUCGUUUUGCACGUUUCAUUGCGUCUUCUUUCGAUUGCGGUUUUGGGUCAGCCAUUGCCUCUCUUUUGCCCGCUGGAUUUCUCACUACUGGGUUGCCUUCUCUUGGUCGAUUUCACCAAUCUUCAGGCGACUUAUGUUUUGAGCUGGCCUCAGGAAAACUUUUCCAAAAUCCUUUCCCCAGCGGAGUUUCGUCUUGGUCGAUUUUGCCGGUCUUCAGGUGAUUUUGACCCUUUUUUAAUUUCGUUUCUUCUUCUCACUUUCGGCUGUCAAGAUAGAGAUACUGAUUUUAUUGCAUUCUACUUUUAUGUUUUAUUACUGAAUCUGGAUUUUUGGUUGUUCCCUUCUUUUUCCCUUUUGAAUCUUUGAUUUUUUUGCUUCCCCAAUCUGUGUUCUUCACUGUUCCCCCUUUUUUUUUUGGCCCUUGUUUAUUUAUUUCAUUUCCUCUUUUUUCCUGUGCUUUUCCUUGUUCCUUUCUUAUUUUUGUUUAUUUAUUUCGUUUCCUCUUUUCAGCUGUGAAGAUGGAGAUACUAAUUUUAUUGCCUUCCACUUUUACGCUUUAUUGCUGGAUCUGUGUUUUUUCCUUGUUCCCUUUUCUUGGUUCUUGCUUGUAAAUAUCGUUUUUCGUUUGCUCUCUUAUGGCUUUGGUCCUUAUGAUUUUGUUAAAGCUAAUAAAGUAACGAAAUUUUUUAAAUUAAUUCAACCAUCACCUCUAAUAAAGUUAUGGUUGUUAAAGCUAAUAAAGUAACGAAAUUUUUUAAAUUAAUUCAACCAUCACCUCUAAUAAAGUUAUGGUCUUAAAAUUAGCUCACGUGGUUCUAUAGCACUGGUCUUGUAAGAGAUGCAUUUGCCACGUGAUAACCACGACGAAAAACAAAUGAACAGUAACGAAAAACCCAUUAAAGACGGUCUUAGAUUAUGGUCUUAAAUUUUAUAGCACUGGUUUUUCAUGGCUCUAUUUGAAAGCCACUUAAAACCCAUUAAAGAUGCCUGCUUUGCAGACGUUGUUCAUGGGAUUAGUAUAUAUUUGAAGUAUUUAUCAAGAUGUGAAAGAAUUCAUUUCUCUUUUGUAUGAGGUGUGCUUGAUUUUUUAUAACUCCGUAUGUUUAUUGCUGCCUAUUCACUGAAAAAGGAAAUAUAUGGUACCUUAGUCGUUCUAAGUAUGUCUUCAACUAUGGUGAAUUAAAUGCUGUAGGUUUUCUCCUGUGACUUUUCCUUUCCUUUGCUUUUUCUUUGUUAUUUGUUCUCUUACAUACUGUACUUUGUUGAUGUUGUUCUUGGCGUUUUUAUGAUUUAGGUUAUUUUACUGAAUUUUCAUCCUAGCCUUGUGCAUUCGUCUUUGGAAUCUACGGCAAAGGUUCGUUUUGUGUUUUUUCCCUUCUUUUGGAAUCACCUUUGGAGGUUUUUCAUGUUCCUUGUUGAUUUGCUUAAUAUAGAGUUUUUCAGUUUAGGAUUUGUUUAGUUGAUUUGCAAUUUUAAGCUUUUAUAUUGUACUAAAGUGUUUUGGUUUGGGCUGUCUUUUCUGCCUUUCUUAGCAACGGUCUGUUUAUGACCUUUUUUUUUUCUCCAAAGGUCACCUUGUUUGUUGGUUCCUGGCAGUUUAACCUGUGUUUUUUGGUUUGGUAGGAGUUGAGUUUGGGAUGAUAAAAAAAAGUUAGGAGUUUAUCAUCCCACUACAUACGUUUAUCAUGAAAAUGAGAUAAUGUUUGGUAGUCAUCAUCAUCUAGCAUUGGGACUACCAAACAGAUUUCGAGGAUUUAUCAUGAACGAAGAGGCUUUUCUUUGAUUUUCCCAGAUUUAUAACAUGUUUUUGGGACUUUGGUUUUGGGCUUUUCUUUGUUUUUUCCGAAUUUAUUCUCCUUCGCUAUCCUUCAUACUCCGUUCAAAUCAGAUUAUUUUUUUAUAUUGUUGUUCCUUAUUUUUCUUACCCUUUUCAAAUCGAGUGACUUUUUUUGAUGUGGUUGUUCUUCAUCUUUUAAAAAAUAUAUAUCUACAAGAUCUUCCUUUGUCCCCUUUAUUUAUUUUCCUAUGUGCGUAUCUUUUUUUUUCCUUUUUAAAAUGCAUAGAAGCCCUUUGAAUGGGACCUGCGAAAGUAUUGAUGCAUUUCUAAAGGACAUUUGAAAGAUUUAUUUCUAUGCAGUAAUCUGAACAAUAUGAGGUGAACAGAAAAUUUCCAAUAUGAAGUGCUUAUUUUUUCCUGUACUUCAUCUUUUUUUUAUUUUUUUGUUGGCCAAUGCCAUUUUUGGGUUUGCUGGAAGUCUUUGAAUAUGAUGGCAAGGCUUCUCUGGAUGUACUCUGUUUCUGUAACCUCUCUCUCAGGUAAUUUCCUCACCAAACUAGAGAUACAAGGAAGGUCACCUAAAAUUGGGAAGAUUUUGUUCUUAUUUUCUUUGUAUUUUUGGAGAACAAUUUGGUUAGGAUUAAUGAUAGGUAAUGGCCCGUUGUAGAAAUUUGAAGCAUUUUUUUAAAAAAAUUUCAGCUUUUUGUCAAAUAUGUUUUUCAGAGCUUUGUUGAGUUUCAACGUUUUUGCGCUACCUAUGUCUUGUUUGUACUAUUUUUUUGAAGUUGUAGGUGUAAUAUAGUGUUUAUACUUGUUACUAGCAGUUGGAAGCUGCAAAUAAAUGAUUAUUAGUUGGAAGCUGCAAAUAAAUGAUUAUACUAUAAUUUCCUACCAAUUACGAAAGUCAAAUGCUUUACUUUGCUAGCUUGCAGAAGUUGAUCCUUUUGCUUAAAAUUAUUAAACUUGCAUACUGUAUAAAGAAAAAGCCUUUUGUUUGAUACGUUUUCUGACAUCGUUUUUCAAUUAGUACUGCUUUUCUUUUUUUUAUUUUGUUUCUCACUUUCUUCAUGAGUCAUGACAUGAAUUUGUUGUUUGUUGAUUCAGACUUAUAUAGGAAAGGCUUGUCAGGGGCAUCCACUCAGCUCUCCUACUUUUCCUCCAAAAGGUGCCCGAAGUUUAUUUUCCUGCUGAUACCUUCUUAUCUUGGUGAUCAUUUUGAUGGGUUUAAAAAAUAGAUAAAGUAAAAUAACUUUUGCAUAUGAAGUCUAUCUUUUUAGGCUUUAGCUCCUUGCCAGGAUCAGUUAAAACUAAUACAUAUAUUUGUUUAGUGUUUGAAUACUUCAAACAUCAUGUUUAUUUAAUGUGACAGUUGCAUGUUUUUCCCCAUAUUUUGGGGUUUUCUGUUCACUAAAAAAUUAUAAAGCACCCAAGUGUGCAAGUUUAUUGCCAUAUUUUGGCCUUGUACCUCCCUCCUGGAGUAUUUUAACAUUACGUGCAUUGUCCUUAAUGUAACAAUCACUUGACCCUUUUUCCCCCAUGUGAUUCUUUGAAUUAGAUGAGUUCUUUUAGGUAUAGCUCUUUUACUGAAAUUUUUUGAGUUUGAUAGUUUUUACAUUUGCCUAGGAUUGUGUUAUUCCUGCUUGAGAGUACCUACUUUUUGCUCUUUCUGCAGUAGAAAAUAUCAGUUUUUUUGCUUCAUUAGUUCAUUAUGAACACAAGUCAUUUUUUGUAUGGAAGGAAGAAGAAAAUCCAAGUCAGAUGUCAGAGAAAGAUUUGGCUCUCAUGCAGGCAAUGUAUUAGAUCACUGCAUCUUUUGGAAAAGGUUCUAUCAUGUGGAUUGGCUGCUUUGCCCCUGUUAAACAAGUUUCAGUUGUGUCUACAGGUUCAUUUGCACUUGGGAUUGGAGGAUUUCCAAAGGUUGGCCAUCUUAUGUGUUUCUUAUGCUGCAAUGCCAGAUGUUGAUUUUGAAUUAUUGUUUCAAGUGCACUAAACAUCUGCAAAUAUCUAAAGAAUCAUAUUGACAUCGUUUUAGAGUGCAAAUAUACCACUGAAAGGACUUUUCUCUAUCUAAUUGGGAUUUCAACUAAGAGCUGCUGUAAUUAUUCUUGAUUUGAAUAUUUCCAUUCUGAUUAAUCAGCAUUUGCAAUUUCCAGAUUGUAUAGCAAAAGAAAAGCUUUGCCUUGUUCUUGAAAACCUUCACUAAAAUGGAAGCUUUUAAAUUACUUUGUAUCGCUAUUGGUUUCUGUUAACCUUAUUACUUUGUAUCACUAUUGGAUCUGUUUGAUGUAAUUGGAGUAGUGCCUUUUGGCAUCAGGCAAUAUUAGUAGUUCCAUGUCCAUGGGAGAUGUUACCAUCCCCAAGCAAUUCACUCAGACUGGCUUAUGGGAUUGGCUCAUAACUUCCACUUCGUGCUUUUAACAUGAAUACAUGAAACUUUGUUAUACACCUAUUUUCGACUGAUUUACAUGAAUCUUUUUUCUGAGCAGAAACUUAAUGCGACAAUCCCGACAGGUGAUUUUACUAAAUUGGAUUUUGAAGCCUACAAUGGGCCUUCCAGAGGAUAUAGCGUUCUUUUCAAAGUAAAGAAAGCCUAAUACUGCUUAAAGAAAGCUUUGGUUUCACGUAAGCAAGAAUUAGUGUACACUCAUCUUGAGGUAUAGGACUCGAUACAGUUCCUUCUCUUCUGUAUUUUUCCUUUUCUUUCUCAAUUGAAGAUUAGUAAGUAUAGGACUUGUUUAUGAUUAGUUGCAUUUGUUCUGUGUUUCCGAAGCCUGAAAAACCUUAGCAAUUACUAAGUGUCAAAUAUUAAGUUUCGAUUAUUAUAGCAUAGAAAAUUUCCCUAUAGAGGCUUCUAUACAAACCUUGGUUUUGCCUUUAUAGGUACACAAAUAUUCCUUCAUGAUUUUAUAGUUUCUUAAUACUUCUUAUCUUAUGCUAAAGGAAGAAUUGAGCUAUUAAACCUUAAACUUUUCAGUGAAAAUAUUUUAAAUUUUAGAUCUAGAAAACACAUUCUUAGAUGAGAAUAUCUCAAGCUACUCUGGGGAUAAAAGCAACUAUGCAAUCUGGCUUACAUGUCAAUGCCUCUGACUUUUGGAAUGGAGUAUUGUUUUAACAUAAUAAAAGAUGCCCUCCCUAUGAUGAAUAAGUUUCCACUUUGUUUGUGCAUUUUAGGAUCAUUCCAUUGACCUUGUGUUCAGCCCCUUCCCUGCUCCCCCUCCAAAAAAAAUUAUAAGACAAUUGAAUGAGUUUAAUGUUGGGAUAUUUUGGAGUUAGAACUUGUUGAAUUUAUCGUUCGGAUUAGGAUCAUUUGCUGCCAGUUAACCUAUUUCCAAUUUCUUCCUUUGGGUGAUAUCCGUGGAUGGCCAUACUGCAAUAGAUUGCAUUCUGAAUUCUUUUAAUUUCAAUUUUUUGGAAAUAGCAAAGUAGCCAAUUUAUCUGCUUUGGUGGAAUUAUGAGUUACCAUGCAAGUUGCUCUAACUUUACAACUUACAGAUGCUUAGAUCUCUUUUCUUUGAUACUUAAUAAUAGACAAAAUAUAUGUCAUGCUCCUCUUAAGAGGGGAAAAGGUGGGUUAAGAUUUUGUAUGAAUAUUACAAGUUUUAAAGUUGUCGAGUUUAUCUUGUUUGUUUUGGGAUCAAUCAAUGUCUCCUGACCCCUUUCCUGUUUCUAUGUAUUGGUGCCGAGGUCUAUUGCUAACUGCAAUGGAAUAUGUACUAAGAUUUUAUUGUUAUAAUUUCAUGAUUAGGUUGUCGCGGGAGAACUUAGCAAAUCUUGCCAUGGGUGGCAGCAGAAACAAAAUUACUUUUGGACAGGGGAAAGAUGCAUUGUGCGUUUCAAGCUCCAUGCAUUGUACAAAUCAUUUUAUUAAACUGAGCAUCUCCAUUUUUUUUCCCUUCCACACUAAUGCGCGGUUUAUGCAUUAAACUAGGGAACUAGGGUAAGUAGGGUCAUGGGAUAGAAAAGAAAUCAUGUAUCCGUGAAUCAUACAUUUCACAUCUAAUAUAUUAGUAGUUCUGCAAAUUUCAAAUUCUCUUGUUAUAUCUGUAACACAUUUCCUUUUCUAAAACAAGAGAGAUAACUCGGUUACCGAAUUAUCUUGUUACAUUUGUCCCACAGUUUUGUGUUGUUAAUCAGUACGUACAACUUCAAUAUUAAUUUCUAUCUAUAAUUACUGAUCAGCAAUCCGAACUACUAUUUACAAAAUUUUAAUGCUUCUAUGGGCAUUCAUGUUUUGUACUCCGCGGUUUAUCUCUCCUAGUCCCAAUCAAAGCACUGGAUGAAUGUACCAACUGCCAAUGAAACACUCCGAAUGCCUAGAUUGGCUCCGGGACAAGCUCUCCUCCCUAUCCCAAAUGGUAAAAACUUGGAAUUGAACUCUUCUUUAUCCAUUAAUCCCUUCCCUUCGAAUCUUUCUGGCAUGAAUUUCUCAGGCUCCUCCCAGAGUUUUGGAUCCCUAUGCACGGCCCAGGCAUUAGCUAAAACAAUCGUACCUUUUGGAAUAUCAUACCCCCCGACUCGGCAGUCUUCAGAUGCCUGAUGAGGUAGCAGAAGUGGUGCCGCGGGGUACAGUCUCAAUGUCUCAUUGACAACACAACGAAGAUAGGGAAGCUUUGGAAUAUCAGAUUCAUCCACCAGCCUUCCAUGUCCUACGCUGUUGUCAAUCUCAGUCCUUAGUUUCUGUAGUGCCUUCGGGUGAUUCAGUAAAAGCAACAUAGCCCAUUCAGUGGUCAGUGUGGAUGUUUCUCUUCCUGCUGUAAAUAUUAUCUGAAUCAAGGGUUGCUUUUGUUAGACAAAAUAAACAUGGUUAAAAUUAGGGUGGGAAAGAAUCCCAGAACGGUUGCUUUUAAAUGCUCUGUCCAACAGGAUCAUCCUUCUGAAAAAGCUUUACUAAGUACAAACAAGGGAAAGGAUGAUGAAAAAUGACAACCAAUGAGCUCAAAUGCAACAAGGCUGAAGCUAUUAUCAUUUCAAAAGAUUGUUUUGAUGAAAUUAAUGGUGCUUGUUUUCAGGAAUUUUCCUAAUUAAAUCUUCUACUCAAAUCUUAUCCACUAGCAUGACAAAUAAUAAGCAUGAAGUAUCAGAUUUUGACCUCGAUUACUACUCUUAUCUUAGUAUCAGAAUCCAAAGUUUAUUAAGCAGGACUUUUGUAGGAAGGCCGGUUGGAGGAAUGCUAACCCCACAUAAGUCUAUUUUGUCUUCAUUAUCAGAAUCAAAAUAAGACAAGGAAAGGAAAGAAUUCACAAGCUCCAUAACUUUGCUGUCACCUAUAAUGGAUUCUAGCUUCUCUUUAAGAAGAAUCGAUUGAUCAAGAGUUUUCUAUGAUCGGGUUAGAUCAAGUCUAUAUAAACCAUCAACCUAUACUCUUGAAAUGACAUCAGAAUAAAAUUCUUUUAACACUCGUUCUAAGUACAAAAGAGUUCUUUAACAAGAUAUUCUUCUUAAGAAUUGCUUGAUUCAUCAUUCUACCAUGACAUGUUAUUACAAGUUUGUCUGAUUCUUUAGGGAUAACUCCAAUAUAAUUAUAAGGGAAAUUUUCACCACAGGUCCACAACACAAUAUAUGUUGAUAUAUGUCUUUAGGAUAGUUUUGAAUGGGUAAUAUAUUUACACGAAGAGGUGAUAAUUGAUAUCCGCCACUUUCUACUAGUUAGCUCCCACAGGCAAAAGAAUCAAUUGCUAAAGGUUCAUAUAGAGCUGUUACUGUUGCCUCGCUGUAGCUUAAUGAAUUCAAUUGAAAACCAUCAUAUUAGCUUUAUAUUGCUGAAGAAAGCAAUUGAGCAAGUGAAACAAGUUCCGCAAAAUAAUGAGUUCAUAACAAGUGUAAAUGCAGAUAAAGCGGAAAAAAAUAAGUAUAUUCUGCCAGUUCAAAUUUCACUGCCUUGGCAAAGUACUGAAGUGGGAUAAGUUCAUGGAGUAAGAAAAACAGAGAGAAAUUGCAUAUUGCACUAACCAAUGCAAUACUCUUUAUGAUGUCAUCUGAUAGAAAAUCUGAUUCUUUUUCCUUGCGGGAAAGCAGAUUUGCAAUCACUGCCUUCUCCCCCUUGUCCAGCAGAGUAUCUGAACAUUGAAAUUCGUCUAUGAAACCCUGCAAGAAUUUAUCUCUCUUCUUGUGCAAAGAGAUCAUUUCCUUUUCCAGUCCCUUGUAGCCAAUCCAUCUUAAUAUAGGGACGAAGUCACACAAAUUCAGCGCAAUGCCUCCGCCUGAAGCAAAAUUUUCCCUGAAUUCUUUAAUUAUUUGCAUCCCCAACUCCUCUCCAGCAUCCUCUUCUCUGAUACAGCGUCUUCCAACAAGCAUCCUCAUGAUAACAUUGAGCGUAAAAACAGAAAUCCAACGGUUCAAAUCAACUCUUAUUAGGCUUCCAUGCUUUGAAACUCUGUAUAUUGACCUGAGAAUCAGCUUAAUUUCUUCUUCCCUGAUAACUGAAGUCCUCUGGAGGCUGUUGAAGGAGAAAGAUUCAACGACAAGGAGGCGACGAAGAUCCCUCCACAUGUGGCCAUAUGGGACUACCCCAACGGCUCUAUAGUUAUAGGAAAGCCUGUCCCCACCCAUGCUCCGAGGACGGUUUGCAAGUAUGAUAUCAUUCCUGGUGAAGCACUCUUCAAUGGCGGAUGGAGAUGACACAACAACAAAGGAACGGCAGCCGAAUUGGAGAAAGAAAAUCGGACCAUAUCUUGAUGAUAAUGAAGUCAAGUCUUCGUAGAGUGAGUUCUUGAUAAGGUAAAGAUGGCCAAUUAUUGGCAAAGCAAGUGGACUUGGUGGUAACUUCUUGUUCUUGACAUGGUUGAAUAGCAAGUUUUUGGAGAUGAGAAGUAAAGGUAAAGAACACAAUGAGAUGGUGACGAGGUAGUAGCAGAGAUUUUCCAUGGCCUAAAGCUGAAAGUCACACGAGACUUCUUAGUUAACUUCUGCUAUAUUUGUCCCCUCUUGCAUUGAUAAUGUGCAAUUAUUCAUGUGCUGAAAAGUCAAACUGAUAAUGCCAAAGUCAUUGUUUAUUGGAUAAUGCGUAAUAAUUCGUGAAACGUGAAAUUCAUGACGAAAUUGUGGGAGGAACUUUGUCGUCUAUGAGCUCACUAAUUGAGAUGAACUAGGAGGUAUAACUGCCGAGUUGCGCGGUGGAAUAGCCAGCAUGUAUGCCUAUUUAGGCAUGAUUAAGUAGGCAUUACAUGGAUAGUCAUAAUGUCAUUGGAAUAAAUAUCUUGGGUUACUUGCAUGUGUUUUAUUUAUUGAGAUUUAUAUACCUUGUAAUUUAAUCAUUAAGAUAUUUAAGAAUAUUUAGAAGAAAAUUUAAAAAUAGCUUUCAAUCCAAAAGCACAAUUGUAAGACAGCUUAUUAGAUAGACAAUAUAGAUUAGGAGGAUGAGGUAAGCAAGUAACUGAACUAAAAAUUAAUAUCAAAAGAAAAAACAAUACAAAAGGUAAUACAAAAAUGUAGCUGAACAAUAUAAAAUCCAAGUUCAUGAUAGAGCGAAUAAGGAAGAAAAAUGUGAAACUCAACAAAAGGUUAAAUCAAAUGAAGCUAUUUAGAAAUAUGAAACCAGUGAUCGGUACAUUGCUUCGGCCAACAACAAUUGCAUCAAUAAUUUAGACUUUUAGUAACAUAAUACUUGAAUUCUUAAUGUGUGAUGCCAGGGUACAUAAUCUCUAUUCCAUUGGCUCCAAAGAUCAGAAUAGCUAAUGAUUUUCUUGCUUCUUACAGAUCACUUGAUUAAGCAUAUAGGAUCAUAGAAAUCAAUUUAUAUGCAUUAAUUAAUAAGCAGAAAAAUAUUACUCAAGUCUGAAAGUUAGGUGCUCUGGUAGAUAAAAGGAGAAGGUAAUAAGGAAAUAUACCAAAUAACAAUAAAUAUCCAGAAGCCACAUGGUCCAAAACCUGUUGGUGCUAUCAAUGCAGAAUAUCUCAACUAUGUUAACAGAAGCAUGUGUUUGAAGCAAAAACAUCAAAAUGCAACUCUAGGCAUACACAUAAGCCAAUGAAUGCAUAAGUUGUACAUCUGUCUGAAUUUGUCUAAUCUUGACAUAAUCCAAAAUAUUUCCUACUACAUCAAUGUAGCUUCAAGGAGUACCAUGGAUAAAGAAAGAUCAGACAAGUCUUUUUUUUUUUUUUUUUUUUUGGCAUUGCCAGAUUUAUCAACUUCUAUAGAUUCCCUUCCUAUCUCUGUAGCAUCUCUAAACCUUGCUGUGAGGCGAACUUGUAAUCGUGAAGAAGAUCGUUCUCCCUCUGAAAUAAAAAAGCGUGCCAUGUUAAUAAAUUGGAUAAGUAAAGAUUCAAGGGGGACGGAAAAAUUAAUGUAAAAAAUGACCUGAUGCAUGAGUUUGAGCUAGUGUUACAAACGAACCGAACUGCUCGUGAGCGGCUCGAGUCAAGCUCGAUUAGAGCUCGAUUAAUAUUGAGUUCGAGCUGGCUCGAGUCGAAAUCGAGCUCGAACUCGAAUUCAAAAUAUUAAACUCGCGCGAGCUCGAGUAUAUAUAUAAUUUUUUUUUAUUUUAAGUGUAUAUAUAUUUUUUUAUUUUUUAUUUUAAGUAUAUAUAUUUUUUAUUUUUUUAAUUUUAAUAGUAAAAUUACAUAUAUAUAUCCUUAAUAUUUUAUUAUUUACUAAAAAAUAUUAUUUUAUUUAUUUUUUAAAAAAUAAAAUAAUUAUUUUUUUUCGAGCUCGAGCUCGAGGUUGAAAUUGUCAGCUCGUCGAGCUCGAAUUUGAGUUCGAGUUCAAUGAAAUUAUGUCGAGACUCGGCUCGAUUAGGCCAAAACUCAACUCGGCUCGACUCUACUCGGCUCGUUUUCAGCCCUUUGAGCAUUCUAUUCUUCAGCCUGGACAAGUUCAUUGUUGGCACUGAUGUGGAAAUCUUUGUUGCCAGAAGACGUUGCCGUGCUUUCUCCAAAGUAAUAAGCAACCGUGUAAUGGUUAUAUCCAUUACCAUCUCUGAUAUUUCCUGAUUUCAGUUGUACAAUGAACUUUUCAAGCUCUUUAUGCACCUUUUCAAGCGGCAAUUGUUCAUUCUAUAAGUAAAACCAUAAACUUGAAUUAGUACGCAUAGUCUAUAUAUGAUUCCGACAAACUUGUUCACACAGAUAGAGACACAUGGCAAUGGUGACUUAUCAAUUUUCCUAGAGGGCAUGUAAAAAGGUUACACAAAACACCAGCCAAGGAAAUCUCUUGUAAUCAGCAGGAAAAAAAAUCAAAUAAAAAGACUCAAUCUUUCAAGGUAAAAACCAUAACGAGAAGGAAAGGCAAAGCAUAUACAUUUUUUGACUAUACAAAACUCCAUCGUCUGACAAGCUGAAAUGCAAACUCAAUGACAGGCACACAAGUACCAAAAAGAAACCAAAAGAAAUAGCCAAGGAAAAAUUGUAAGAGAAGCUGCAAUUCUUACAAAAGCUCAACCAAGCUCAAGAUCCAAGCAAUUAAAAAUUUUUCUGCCUAGGAAAAAAUCUAAAAGCUUAACACAUCAACAGACGCAUAACAGGAGAGACCGACAACAGCACCGAGCAAAGACACAGUCGCAACCUAUAUCUAGCAAUAGUUUCAUAAGCACACCGGUACCAGAAACAAUUCUUAGGAAGACUCAACCAUUUCAAGAAAAAUAAAAGCAAAGACCCAGAACAACACCAAGCAAAGAAAAAGCCACAAACCAGUAAGAUUAAUCAAAGCCAAUGCAUAAAGGAAUCGUAAUCAGAGCUCGCAAGUAUAGGAUCCCUAAAAGGGCCGAGUACUCAGUGAAACAGGAGGAAAGAAACGAAGAAGUUUAAGCCAAGGUUGUAAGCAACUCGGAUAGAGAAGAUAGUGAGAGGGAGAAGCUCGAAAAGGGGAAAAAUUGACGCAUAAUUGAGAUGCCAUCUCCAAAAAUUUACACCCCAUUGAUAGAGGUGAACACUGCAAAUUGCACCAAUCAUCAUUUAGGAAGAUGCUUCUAAUAGAUUCAGGCGUAGCAGCAGAAAGAGCUGAAAGAGGAAAGGAAAUCACAGGCGCAUAUCUCGUCCCCCUGAAGACGGGCCAGUCAGACAAUCUGUUUACCCGUAUAAAGUAAUAAUGAUGGACCACCCACAUGAUCCGCCUGCUUUAAAGAGACAAGUGCAAGUCACGUGACGACGACGAAAAGUUUGAAACCUCUUGGUGCAUUGUAUGUUAUGUUGACAAUUGGCAAGAAUUAUACAUUGAAAUAUAAAUAUAAUAAAGCUAGAGGAGUGGCGUUGGUGUAAAUUUUUUUUUUUUUUCCUUGCUAAUUUUGAACUUUCUUUUAUAUCCUUAUAAAAUCUAAUUUUUACCUUAAUUACCUAAUCAUAUUUUACCUACAUAAUUACUCAUAAUGGCCUUAAGUAUUUUAAGUACCACAUUACUAUAGACUUAUAAAUCAGAGUUCUUUAAUUUAUAUAAAUUGUAUGUAUGUGAAAAAUAAAAUUCAUAUAAUAUUAAUUUAUGUUAAUUAUUUUUAAAUUACACAUAGAUUAAGUAUGCCUUUAACGCUUGUCUCCAAUAACUGGGACAUCAAUCAAUAGCAGAAUAAAGGAGUUUUCCGCUAUUGAUUUACCAAAAGAGACAUUGCCCGUUCCAUGGUUUCUUCUGAAGUACUUGUUCCGGCCGUGACCAAUGCCUAAACAAAAUUUAUAAAGAAGAAACACUUGGUCGAAGGAAUGAGGAUAAAUGUUAGAAUCUCUGAUCUAAUGAACCGUUAGGCUUCUUUGGAAUUUAGUCUAAUUGAAGAUUGUUUUUUUUUUUUUCAAUUUAGUUUGCUGGAAUAAUUGAAUGACUUUAACCCUAUAAUAAUGAUUCCAAAAUGAUGGGGAUUAAUAUUUUUAAUUUGAAUUUGAACAUUAAAUUUUGGAUAUGUGACGUGCAUUUAAACCCACUAAUAUAGGCACUGUUAGGAGAUAAAAGAUUUAUCCAAACAAUUGAAAGAAAACAAGAGAAUAGAUGUGGUUGUUGGCAUCAUCUAACUUGAAAAAAUUAAGGAACGUUCCAAUAGUUACAGCGAUGAUCUUCUUGUUUCGCUUGUGAAGCAGAUAGAUACUAGAAGUCUUACCAGUACGAUUCCUUUGACAAUAUCCAGGGUGUAGAACUCAGGGUCAGAUUCUUGCAAAGACAAUAAUGAUUGGAUUAUGGUCUUGCUCUGAUCAGGUGAUGAGGCUGAACCACUUCAGUUCUUCAACUUUCCUCACUCAGAUCGUGCAUGAAAUCAUCAAACUUCCCCUGGUAAUUCUUCAACAUCUUCCUAUACGUUUUCCCAAGACCAAGCCACCUCAUUAUUGGCACAUAUUGACAAAUGUCCGCGGGCAACUUUGCCGAGAACAUAUCAAUCGACAUUAUUGGAAAUAGUAAUCAAGAUUAAUGUCCAGUAGAGGACCUCUGAAUCCAAAGCCAUGCUGGAGAAGCAAAGGCAAGUGAUGUAGCUAUGUAAGUUUCACACUUUCACUCUUAUCGAUCUGACAUAGGCAGUAAUCAAAUCAAUGGCCAAAGCGACAGCAACAGUAGCCUGAUAUGUAUAGAUGGCAAAAGAGGAGAUUCCAUAGAUAUCUUCCCGCCUGCCACAGAAUUAGUAUGACCUUCCACCAACGUUGGAUUUUGUCACUAAGAUACUUGCAUUCCCCCAGAAACAAACACUAUAAGACAAUAGAUACAGUUGUUAAAAGUUAGCAUUGUUUUUUAGAUUUGGUCACAAAUUCUCGCACAAAACUUGGCCAAAGUGACUUGUGAUUUGAGAGAUGUGUACAUUUAUUCCUUUUGCACAUUAUGCGCAUUAAUCAAGUUGUUUAAUGUGAACACACAGAUCGAAUAUUAGUUGUAAACAGAAAUAAAGAUUUUAUACACGAAGGAUGGCUAAGUUCUAGUACAAUAAUUAAGAAUAGUCUUGCCUGCCACUUCAUGAUAACGACAUGAUAGCUUCUGCUACCACAAUUCACUGCUUCUAG